This 497-nucleotide ribosomal RNA is filed under the name uncultured bacterium. RNAcentral describes it as "partial 16S ribosomal RNA". It matches the Rfam family "Bacterial small subunit ribosomal RNA", at positions 28 to 507 of the family's 1533-position model. The record is from RNAcentral.
GAUGAACGCUGGCGGCGUGCUUAACACAUGCAAGUCGAGCGAACAGACGAGGAGCUUGCCCCUCUGACGAUAGCGGCGGACGGGUGAGUAACACGUGGAUAACCUACUUAUAAGACUGGGACAACCUCGGGAAAACGGAGUUAAAACGGGUGAAUAUACCGAACCGCACGGUUCCAUCGUGAAAGACGGUUUUGCUGUCACUUAUAGAUGGAUCCGCGCCGCAUUACAUAUUUUGUAAGGGAACGGCAUACCAAGGCAAAGAUGCGUAGCCGACCUCAAAGGGUGAACAGCCAGACUGGAACUGAGAAACGGUCCAGACACCUACGCGAGGCAGCAGUAGGGAAUCUUACGCAAUGGGGGAAAGCCUGACGGAGCAACGCCGCGGGAGUGAUGAAGGUCUUCGGAUCGUAAAGCUCUGUUAUAUGGGAGGAACAAAUGUGUAAGUAACUAUGCACGUAUUGACGGUACCUAAUCAAAAAGCCACGGCUAACUACGUG